RNAcentral lists this ribosomal RNA (1087 nucleotides) under uncultured bacterium. RNAcentral describes it as "bacterial SSU rRNA". It matches the Rfam family "Bacterial small subunit ribosomal RNA", at positions 9 to 1134 of the family's 1533-position model. The record is from RNAcentral.
GAGUUUGAUCCUGGCUCAGAACGAACGCUUGCUGCAUGCUUAAUACAUGCAAGUCGAACGAAGGCCCUAGCUUGCUAGGUGUCCUUAGUGGCGCACGGGUGAGUAACACGUGGGAACUUACCUCAGAGUACGGAAUAACUAUGGGAAACUAUAGCUAAUACCGUAUAUUCCGGAAACGGGAAAGAUUUAUCGCUCUGAGAUAGGCCCGCGCAAGAUUAGCUUGUUGGUGAGGUAAUGGCUCACCAAGGCUCCGAUCUUUAGCUGGUUUGAGAGGAUGAUCAGCCACACUGGGACUGAGACACGGCCCAGACUCCUACGGGAGGCAGCAGUAGGGAAUAUUGGACAAUGGGGGAAACCCUGAUCCAGCAAUGCAGCGUGAGUGACGAAGGCCUUAGGGUUGUAAAACUCUUUCAUCUGUGAGGAUAAUGACAGUAGCAGAAUAAGAAGGACCGGCUAAUUCCGUGCCAGCAGCCGCGGUAAUACGGAAGGUCCUAGCGUUGUUCGGAAUUACUGGGCGUAAAGAGUAUGUAGGCGGAACAGAAAGUUAGAAGUGAAAUCCCUGGGCUCAACCUAGGAAUUGCUUUUAAAACUUCUGUUCUUGAAUUCAGGAGAGGAUAGUGGAAUUUCCAGUGUAGAGGUGAAAUUCGUAGAUAUUGGAAGGAACACCAGUGGCGAAGGCGGCUAUCUGGACUGACAUUGACGCUGAGAUACGAAGGCAUGGGUAGCAAACGGGAUUAGAUACCCCGGUAGUCCAUGCAGUAAACGAUGGAUGCUAGUCGUCGGACUUUUGUUCGGUGUCGUAGCUAACGCGUUAAGCAUCCCGCCCUGGGGAGUACGGUCGCAAGAUUAAAACUCAAUAAAUUGACGGGACCCGCACAAGUAGUGGAGCAUGUGGUUUAAUUCGACGCAACGCGAAGAACCUUACCAGCGUUUGACAUGGAAAGUACCGGGUUACAGAAUGNNACCUUCAGUUCGGCUGGCUUUCACACAGGUGCUGCAUGGCUGUCGUCAGCUCGUGUCGUGAAAAUGUUGGGGUUAAGUCCCGCAACGAGCGCAACCCUUAUUCGUUUAGUUANCUAAACAGUUC